AUGAGAUUCAUCCAUCUUGCGAUAUAGACCAGACAAGACACUGUUAAAUAUCACAUAAUUAGGGGGAUUCUCACAAAGAGAUUUUGAUUUUGUGGGCUCUAUAAUGAGAUGAUACCUGAACUUAGCUGAGUACAACUUCUCUGUGACAACAAGGCCUUAUAAAAGAAUAGACUGUGUUGUAUGCCUGAACAGACUGGAACUAAAAGUAUACAAAAAGGAAUACCCUGGGUCAACUGGACCACCAAGAGAGUGAACUUGUCUACGGAAUCAUCUUCAUUUGGAAGGAAUUUACCAGCCUUCACCAAAAGCUGUGCCAGUGAAAUUUUAUUGUAUGAGGAUAAGCAGCAAGAGUAUGGAGGUUAUGGAGGUAUCUGACAUCUAUACCAUCUGGCAAUAACAGUAAUAGCCAACUGAGAGUCACCAUGAUUCUUCCCUGUUCAUAAGUAGAAACCAGAUACACUUUCUGUUUACAAUUAAAAAAAAAAAAAAAACAACCCUUUGAUGCUUUCAGACAAUACAGCGGAAAGAGAAAUGUCUUAGAAAA
Molecule: long non-coding RNA, 544 nt
Organism: Canis lupus familiaris (dog)
Lineage: Eukaryota; Metazoa; Chordata; Mammalia; Carnivora; Canidae
Exons: 2
Source: RefSeq, a predicted model, not a curated record